GGAAAAGAAACCAACAGGGAUUGCCCUAGUAACGGCGAGUGAAGCGGCAACAGCUCAAAUUUGAAAUCUGGCUUCGGCCCGAGUUGUAAUUUGCAGAGGAUGCUUCUGGCGCGGUGCCUUCCGAGUUCCCUGGAACGGGACGCCACAGAGGGUGAGAGCCCCGUAUGGUCGGACACCAAGCCUGUGUGAAGCUCCUUCGACGAGUCGAGUAGUUUGGGAAUGCUGCUCUAAAUGGGAGGUAAAUCCCUUCUAAAGCUAAAUACCGGCCAGAGACCGAUAGCGCACAAGUAGAGUGAUCGAAAGAUGAAAAGCACCUUGAAAAGGGGGUUAAAUAGUACGUGAAAUUGUUGAAAGGGAAGCACUUGUGACCAGACUUGGGCCGGGCGGCUCAUCAGGGGUUCUCCCCUGUGCACUCCGCCCGGCACAGGCCAGCAUCGGUUCUCGUGGGGGGAUAAGACCGUUAGGAACGUAGCACCCUCCGGGGUGUGUUAUAGCCUGGCGGACGAUACCCCCGUGGGGACCGAGGUUCGCGCUCCGCAAGGAUGCUGGCGUAAUGGUCACCAGUGACCCGUCUU
This 575-nucleotide ribosomal RNA is filed under the name uncultured fungus. RNAcentral's name for it is "eukaryotic LSU rRNA". It matches the Rfam family "Eukaryotic large subunit ribosomal RNA", at positions 55 to 655 of the family's 3401-position model. The record is from RNAcentral. Lineage: Eukaryota; Fungi.